Molecule: small nucleolar RNA, 104 nt
Filed under: Olea europaea subsp. europaea
Lineage: Eukaryota; Viridiplantae; Streptophyta; Magnoliopsida; Lamiales; Oleaceae
Source: RNAcentral
AAUUUCUGUGAAUACUUCUGAAUUUCAAGCUCAAUGAACCGGAUUGCAUGUCUAUCUCUCUUGAGAUUAUUUCCAUUUUGACUACCCUGCUGAACUGAGUGAAC